ACAUAAGACAAAAAUGACCCAUAAUGUUAAUAAUUUUAAAUGUAAUAAUAGACAAUGGAAUACUGAAUCCUUUAAAAUGGUAUAAUUGUCCAGAUUUUUAUUUUUAUGUGAUGCACAAUAUAUGAACACAUAAUUACAAAAAAUUUUUAUAUUAUGGCACCUAAGGGUAAGUAUGCACAUUUGCCAUCACUGUACUACAUAUAACAGGAAGAUUAAAGAUGUACUAUUGGACAUUGUUGUAGUAUAAUUAACAUGAAUAUAUUGUUAACAUUGGUGAAAUCAAUGUUUUAUUAACAAACUGUGAAGGGACAUUUUAUCAUUAAUUUUCUGAAUAGUUUUUUACCUCAUCCCUUCUUCUAAGUUUAAUUCUGUGGUUUCCAUUUAAUAGUAAUUUUAUCAGUGUGGUUUAUCUGUGGUUUCUUAGAAGUACAACAUUGUCCUCUGGAGGGUCAUAUCUUAUAUCUAAGAAACAGUGAAAACCAUUAUCUUACCAGAUUAAAAUUAGUUCUUUAUAUAAUGUAUAUAAAAAAAAAUAAAAAACUAGAAUAAUUGUACAGCAUGUGAUGGUGGCUAUACAAGAGAUAUAUCAUGAUCUUAUAUAAACAGUUAUCAUUUUUCAUUUUUGCUCUUUUUAUAUAAUAAGAUAAAGAAAAGCACACUCUAGUUUGAAUAUUUCCAAACAUCUCUCCAAUAUGAAAAGCUGAAUGGAAGUAAUGACUGGGGGAAAACUUAUCUAUAAUAGGAGAAUAACCUUUGCACACAGUAAGAAACAAUACUCAAUUACUGAGGAAAGAGGCAUAUAUGAGAUACUAUUAUUAAAUAGAGACUUAGAAUAUAUAUGUUUUUCUGUAUUUUAUUUCUACAUAACUGGGAACAUACAUCAAAAUUGUACCUAUAAGAAGCCUUAGCUCAAAUAGUGGCAAUGUGUGAUGAUGAAAUCAAACUACAUGAAGCCAGAGUGAUAAACCAUCUAGCCAACCUGCAAUAAGAAUAGUAGAAACAAUAAUCAUCGUAUGGAGUUAAAAUUUAAGCAGUAGGUUAAUCAUUGAAAAAUAAAACUUUGUAUGCCAAUAAAGUUUUAUUUUUUAAUGAUUAAUCUAAUGCUGUUGGUGCUUAGAUUUUGACUCCAUAUUAUCUUGGUAAAGCAGUUAUAUGCUUGAAUAAUAGUUAUCUUGUAUGCAAGUCAUAAGAAAGAAGAAAGUAAUUAGCAUGUUAGAUCUAUCUUCUGAACAAUCAUGUUAGAUCUAAUUUUUUAUAAUUUUAUUAGCAAAUUAUCAGUGAUAUAUUUAGUAAUAAAUGUUUACUACUAAAUAUAUUAUUGAUGACAGACAGUCCCCAAGUUAUAGGCAGAUUGUUCUGCAAAAUCAUGUGUAAAUCAAAACCUAUGCAUUUCAGAGCAUAUGUUAUACAGUAUUAGUGUGUCACAAUGAUGUAACACAAAACAUAGUAUGUUAAAGAAUGUAUAGGAAUUCCCAACUUAUAUAGUUCUGACAUAUAUUAUACUUAUUCUU
RNAcentral lists this long non-coding RNA (1511 nucleotides) under Androctonus crassicauda. The record is from RNAcentral. Lineage: Eukaryota; Metazoa; Arthropoda; Arachnida; Scorpiones; Buthidae.